GACUACGAGAGCUGAUAAAUGAAGUAGAUCCAAAUGAGCAGUUGGAUUUGGAGGUUGAAGAUCUAAUGAUGCAAUUAUCAGAUGAUUUUAUUGAAGAAAUAAUCAAAGGAGCUUGCUCAUUUUCUAAACAUAGGAAAUCAAAUAUUGUAGAAGCUCAAGACGUCCAAAUUUACCUGGGUAACUAAAUUGAUAAAGUACCUAAUUUUCUAAUAAUUUAUGAAUAAAAAUUCAAGCAGCAUUUUUUUUUCAGAUCGAUAUACAAACAUUAAUUUAUCAAGAUACAAUACACAUAAAAUAAAACUAAAUAAAAAAGGCCCAAUAACUAGAGCCAAGGAAAACGUAUGGCAUUGAUGAAGAAAACUACAGUAACAAAAGAAUAUUAAUUCAAUCCAUGAUACACAUGCAGAGACUUCAUCAACAUAUUAUGCAACUUACAGUAAAAUAUAUAAUGCACUAAGUUAGAAUUAAAUAAAAUGUCAACAUAAAAAUGUUUGAGUUCAUGAUACCCAUCUUCAAUUUCCAAAGUUUUCAUAAAGUUUGUUAAGCACACUCACAUGUAAUUUAAUUUAUUUGGUUUAUUAGACCAUUAAAGUCGGUAC
Molecule: non-coding RNA, 599 nt
Organism: Cinara cedri
Lineage: Eukaryota; Metazoa; Arthropoda; Insecta; Hemiptera; Aphididae
Source: the annotation of a GenBank genome assembly